This 440-nucleotide ribosomal RNA is filed under the name uncultured bacterium. Its description in RNAcentral is "partial 16S ribosomal RNA". It matches the Rfam family "Bacterial small subunit ribosomal RNA", at positions 338 to 795 of the family's 1533-position model. The record is from RNAcentral.
CCUACGGGUGGCAGCAGUGGGGAAUAUUGCACAAUGGGGGAAACCCUGAUGCAGCGACGCCGCGUGAGUGAAGAAGUAAUUCGUUAUGUAAAGCUCUAUCAGCAGGGAAGAAAAUGACGGUACCUGAGUAAGAAGCCCCGGCUAACUACGUGCCAGCAGCCGCGGUAAUACGUAGGGGGCAAGCGUUAUCCGGAUUUACUGGGUGUAAAGGGAGCGUAGACGGCAGUGCAAGUCUGGAGUGAAAGGCCGGGGCUCAACCCCCGGACUGCUCUGGAAACUGUGCGGCUGGAGUGCAGGAGAGGUAAGUGGAAGUCCUAGUGUAGCGGUGAAAUGCGUAGAUAUCAGGAGGAACACCGGUGGCGAAGGCGGCCUGCUGGACUGCGACUGACGUUGAGGCCCGAAAGCGUGGGGAGCAAACAGGAUUAGAUACCCCGGUAGUC